ACGUAGGGGGCAAGCGUUAUCCGGAAUUACUGGGCGUAAAGCGUGCGCAGGCGGUUUCGUAAGACAGAUGUGAAAUCCCCGGGCUUAACCUGGGAACUGCGUUUGUGACUGCGAGACUUGAGUGCGGCAGAGGGGGGUGGAAUUCCACGUGUAGCAGUGAAAUGCGUAGAGAUGUGGAGGAACACCGAUGGCGAAGGCAGCCCCCUGGGUCGACACUGACGCUCAUGCACGAAAGCGUGGGGAGCAAACAGG
This 252-nucleotide ribosomal RNA is filed under the name uncultured Denitratisoma sp. Its description in RNAcentral is "partial 16S ribosomal RNA". It matches the Rfam family "Bacterial small subunit ribosomal RNA", at positions 525 to 776 of the family's 1533-position model. Lineage: Bacteria; Pseudomonadati; Pseudomonadota; Betaproteobacteria; Nitrosomonadales; Sterolibacteriaceae. The record is from RNAcentral.